AUUGAACGCUGGCGGCAGGCCUAACACAUGCAAGUCGAACGAGUGGCGGACGGGUGAGUAAUGUCUGGGAAACUGCCUGAUGGAGGGGGAUAACUACUGGCAACGGUAGCUAAUACCGCAUACCAUCAGAGGUGCUCAUAUGGGAUUAGCUUGUUGGUGGGGUAACGGAUCACCAAGGCGACGAUCCCUAGCUGGUCUGAGAGGAUGACUCUCCACACUGCAACUGAGACAAUGUCCCACCUCCUACGUGAGGCACGAUUGGGUAAUAUUUCACAAUGGGCGCAAGCCUGUUGCAGCCAUGCCGCGUGUAUGAAGAUGACCUUCGGUUUGUAAAGGACGUUCAGCGGGGAGGCGUUACCCGCAGAAGAAGCACCGGCUAACUCCGUGCCAGCAGCCGCGGUAAUAC
Molecule: ribosomal RNA, 406 nt
Filed under: uncultured bacterium
Lineage: Bacteria
Description: partial 16S ribosomal RNA
Rfam family: Bacterial small subunit ribosomal RNA
Source: RNAcentral